Molecule: ribosomal RNA, 465 nt
Filed under: uncultured bacterium
Lineage: Bacteria
Description: partial 16S ribosomal RNA
Rfam family: Bacterial small subunit ribosomal RNA
Source: RNAcentral
CCUACGGGAGGCUGCAGUGGGGAAUAUUGCGCAAUGGGCGAAAGCCUGACGCAGCGACGCCGCGUGAGGGAUGAAGGUCUUCGGAUCGUAAACCUCUGUCAGCAGGGAAGAACGGUCACUGUGCUAGUCAGCAGUGAAUUGACGGUACCUGCAACGGAAGCACCGGCUAACCCCGUGCCAGCAGCCGCGGAAAUACGGAGGGUGCGAGCGUUAAUCGGAAUUAUUGGGCGUAAAGCGCUCGUAGGCGGUAUGUCAAGUCAAGGGUGAAAUCCCCGCGCUCAAGGUGGGAACUGCCUUUGAUACUGGCAAACUGGAGUGUGUGAGAGGAUAGUGGAAUUCCAGGUGUAGGAGUGAAAUCCGUAGAUAUCUGGAGGAACAUCAGUGGCGAAGGCGACUAUCUGGCACAUAACUGACGCUGAGGAGCGAAAGCGUGGGUAGCAAACAGGAUUAGAUACCCGGGUAGUC